UGCAGGUAUUCUGGAUGAAGUUUUCGUUGCCCUAAAGGAGAAAGUGGCUGCAAUGAGUCCCAGUGAGAGACACGCUUGUGUUUUGAUGGAUGAAAUGCAAAUUUCACCUGGGCUAGAUUAUGAUGCUUCCACAGGCAGCAUCAUAGGGCAACCAACUAUUGGUCUGUCGAAUCCAGCCUUGAAGCAAGAACUUGCAUCUCAUGCAUUGGUUUUCAUGCUUGGGGGCUAAACAAGCAGGUGGAAGCAAGCAGUUGCUUAUCAUUUCACAGGCUCGUCUUUCGAUGCUCGGCAAGUUAAGGUUUGCCUGUUUGAAGUCGUACAACAUGCAGAGGCAGCUGGGAUGACCAUUGAUGCGGUUGUAACAGACAUGGGCCCAGGGAACAUGGCCAUCUGGCGUCUGUGCAAUAUUCAGGCAACAAAAUAUGGGAAACCAAACCUGUCAUGCCCCCACCCCUGUGGCCACAACAGGCAACUGUACUUUAUUGCAGAUGCACCACACCUACUAAAAACUUAAGAGGGCAUCUUGUUCGAGGACAAGACAUAAUUCUUGAUCAGGCUACUGUGGCUAAGCAUACCCUGCCAUGCAACAAAGUAAGGCUAAUGAAUUAUGUCUUCGGUUGUAAUGCAUUCUUAUUGAUGGAGCAUGUCCCUUAAAAAGAGCAUUCAGUAUAUUUAUUUGGCU
Molecule: non-coding RNA, 682 nt
Organism: Dermacentor andersoni
Lineage: Eukaryota; Metazoa; Arthropoda; Arachnida; Ixodida; Ixodidae
Source: RefSeq, a predicted model, not a curated record